RNAcentral lists this ribosomal RNA (190 nucleotides) under Staphylococcus pseudintermedius. RNAcentral's name for it is "partial 23S ribosomal RNA". It matches the Rfam family "Bacterial large subunit ribosomal RNA", at positions 2735 to 2925 of the family's 2925-position model. The record is from RNAcentral. Lineage: Bacteria; Bacillati; Bacillota; Bacilli; Caryophanales; Staphylococcaceae.
GCGCAGGUGGGUGGUGCGCGUGGGACGGAGUAACGCAUAAAGCAUCUAAGCAUGAAGCCCCCCUCGAGAUGAGAUUUCCCAACUUCGGUUAUAAGAUCCCUCAAAGAUGAUGAGGUGAAUAGGUUCGAGGUGGAAGCGUAGCGAUACGUGGAGCUGACGAAUACUAAUCGAUCGAAGACUUAAUCAACAU